CCUGAUGCAGCGACGCCGCGUGAGGGAUGACGGCCUUCGGGUUGUAAACCUCUUUCAGCAGGGACGAAGCGCAAGUGACGGUACCUGCAGAAGAAGCACCGGCCAACUACGUGCCAGCAGCCGCGGUAAUACGUAGGGUGCGAGCGUUGUCCGGAAUUACUGGGCGUAAAGAGUUCGUAGGCGGUUUGUCGCGUCGUCUGUGAAAACCCACCGCUCAACGGUGGGCCUGCAGGCGAUACGGGCAGACUUGAGUACUGCAGGGGAGACUGGAAUUCCUGGUGUAGCGGUGAAAUGCGCAGAUAUCAGGAGGAACACCGGUGGCGAAGGCGGGUCUCUGGGCAGUAACUGACGCUGAGGAACGAAAGCGUGGGUAGCAAACAGGAUUAGAUACCCUGGUAGUCCACGCCGUAAACGGUGGGCGCUAGGUGUGGGUUCCUUCCACGGGAUCUGUGCCGUAGCUAACGCAUUAAGCGCCCCGCCUGGGGAGUACGGCCGCAAGGCUAAAACUCAAAGGAAUUGACGGGGGCCCGCACAAGCGGCGGAGCAUGUGGAUUAAUUCGAUGCAACGCGAAGAACCUUACCUGGGUUUGACAUGUACUGGAAAGCCGUAGAGAUACGGCCCCCCUUGUGGCC
RNAcentral lists this ribosomal RNA (633 nucleotides) under Rhodococcus sp. So1Pw_1110. RNAcentral's name for it is "bacterial SSU rRNA". It matches the Rfam family "Bacterial small subunit ribosomal RNA", at positions 382 to 1028 of the family's 1533-position model. The record is from RNAcentral. Lineage: Bacteria; Bacillati; Actinomycetota; Actinomycetes; Mycobacteriales; Nocardiaceae.